CACCUCUAGCUAACAACAUAUAUUAGAGGCACUGCCUGCCCAGUGACUACGUUCAACGGCCGCGGUAUUCUGACCGUGCAAAGGUAGCAUAAUCACUUGUCUUUUAAAUUAAGACUAGUAUGAACGGCAACACGAAAGCCUAACUGUCUCCUUUAUCCAGUCAAUGAAAUUGAUCUUCUCGUGAAAAAGCGAGAAUACAUUAACAAGACGAGAAGACCCUAUGGAACUUUAAACACAUUAACCACUUUUUCAUUUUACCUACUAUACAAUAUAAAAAAUCUGGUAUACUGUUUUUGGUUGGGGCGACCAAGGAGAAAAAUAUAACCUCCAUGAACCACACUAAGACUAACAUAAUCAAAGUAUUAAAAUUUUAAAUUUAUGACCCAAUAAACUUGAUCAACGAACCAAGCUACCCUAGGGAUAACAGCGCAAUCUUCUCCAAGAGCCCAUAUCGCCAAGAAGGUUUACGACCUCGAUGUUGGAUCAGGAUUACCAGACAGUGCAGCCGCCGUCAAAGGUUUGUUUGUUCAACAAUUAAAAUCCU
This 544-nucleotide ribosomal RNA is filed under the name Gegeneophis ramaswamii (Tenmalai caecilian). RNAcentral's name for it is "partial 16S ribosomal RNA". It matches the Rfam family "Bacterial large subunit ribosomal RNA", at positions 1816 to 2597 of the family's 2925-position model. The record is from RNAcentral. Lineage: Eukaryota; Metazoa; Chordata; Amphibia; Gymnophiona; Indotyphlidae.